UCAUCUCCGUAUGUUCUGUAUCAAGAGAGUAAAGGGAAAGGUGCUUUUCGUUUCAACUCGCUAAUCAUCUGGAAAAGAAGUGAGAAGAAGCAGAAUCAAGCACAAGUGAAUUGUAACGGAAGAGAAACAUUGCCAUUUUUCUUUUGCUAUGGCAUUGCGUGAAGAUACUAAUUUAAGGUGGUUAAAACUGAUGGCGGGAUAUGAACCAGACGUUCAGGUUAGAAAAGCACAACUUUGCACUAUAGACAGCUUAAUGAAUGGUCUAGUAACUCUAUCGGAGGAGCUAGAAUCUUUUGGCCUACCUUCGGUAACUCCAAAGAACGAUGAAAUACAAUCUGUGGGUUCGCUGAAGCUGAUUCUAGUAACAUUAAUUAAUGCGGUAUGGAAUUUUAUUCGUGAACACAGAGGGCUUAUGAGUAUACACGACCAACUAAAGGAUAUACAUCAAAAAGUUGCAAAUGACAAUGUGCAUCUUAAGAAUAAUGUAAAACGACUAAAAGAGGAACUGGAAAAGAAAGUGGUUUUAUUACAUGAAACGAGAGAGAGAGAGAGACGACUCAUUGUUCAACGGGAUAGCAUGUCACGUGAUCUCAAACAUGGAAAAGAUGAGGUGGCGAAGUUAUGGAAACAGUUACAGUCGAAAGAGAAUCAACAUGCCCAUGAGUUACGUCGUAUUCAGCAGAGUGGUCAGAAGCUUCAGCAGCAGUUACAAAAAUCUGUUGGGACGUACGUGCCAAAGGACAAGGCAUGGAAAAAUUUACACGAAGAACACAAAAAGGAAUUAGCUCUGUAUCGACAAACCAUUUGUCAUUUGGAAGAAAAUAAUAGACUGAUGCUACAGGAAAUCAAUGAACUACGAGAGGCCUUAUCUGUACAGUCUGGAGGAAUCGAUCUGGACAUCGAGGCAUCAGGAAUUUGGAACGAUGCCGAAACCUAACUUCGAAAUGGCACCGGAGAAGCGACUUCCUUGAGGAUGUCCUCGCUGUCCUAAGGAUACGACACGAAGAGAUAAUACCCGUUGAACCAAUCCAAUAGCG
RNAcentral lists this unclassified non-coding RNA (1037 nucleotides) under Orussus abietinus. Its description in RNAcentral is "afadin- and alpha-actinin-binding protein, transcript variant X3". The record is from RNAcentral. Lineage: Eukaryota; Metazoa; Arthropoda; Insecta; Hymenoptera; Orussidae.